GCCGAGCUGGGUGAGGGCUUGGCAGCGAACCUAGGAGGGGCACAGAGGGUCACAGUGAGCGGGAGGCCUGGGGCCAGGCAGCCGGGGGGCCUUGCGGAGUUCAUCCCGGCAUCUGUGGGAAGCGCGGAAGAUGCGGAGCAAGGAGCCGUCAGAGGGACAGGGCAGGGGAGAGCCUCAGCCCCAGGCCAGUGAGAGGAGCCAGUGCCCAGCUCUUCCCGCCCCUGGAGCCACUGGAGGGGCCUUCGAUUCCAUGAGGACCGAAGCCUGAGCUCUCCCUCGCCUUCCACCCUGAAACCCAGACUCCUGGAGCUGUGGGAGCAGAGAUUACACACAGGGGUCAUUCAAGACCUGCCUCCGCUGCUUACAAGUUCAGGACCUUGGGUGGACACGAGGACCAGCAAGGCCGCAGAGCCCUGGUCUGGGGCUGGUGCCCCGUGUGCGGAAGUUGGCUGGUAUCACUGUGGCGAUUACUGCCUGCUGACCGCUUUCCUGGUCUGGCCUUUGGGGCCGGGUUCGGACCCCAGCAGAGAGCUACCCCGUAGGUGCUCACUCAACCUGGGACAUGAACAGGAUGGGGGCAGCCCCAGGAUGCUGCACCUGUGCCAUCAGCAAACAGCACGGGUCCCGGGGAGCCUGGCAAGAUGCUUUUCCAAGCAGUUAGUUAGUUUCUCUGGGGACUUGAGCAUCUGUUCCUGGUGGGGCUGAGCAAUCAAGCAGGUCCUUCCUCCUCUUUCUCCAGGAGGCAGGGGCUGGGCCCGGCCUCCUCAUCCCCUUGUCCCCCCUCCCCCCCAGUUGUCCACCAUAAUUAGGCUCAUUGCAGCUCAGGAGGGGGCGUCCGUGCCCCUUCUCCACCCCCAGACUCAGGGUGGCCCAGGCUGGGGGUCUCCCCUCCCUCAAGGGCAUUGCUGCCCCUUCUGAAGGUGGGUGGGGCGCCCUGGCCAAGCCUGCGGCAGGGGUGGGCUCUUCUGUCCUCCUCCCAUCCCAGCCCCCAGCCCUGCCUGGGCCCUCGCUCCGUGGUCAGGGGCGCCUGGGGCUCGCCAGGGCCCAGGCAGGCUGCUCUCGUCAUUAGCGGCCGGCCUCGCUCCAAGUGAAUUAGCUGGUCCUCGGGGAGCGGGUGCUGAGGCCUGCAGGCUCCUGGCACUGGCCAGUGAUUCAUUCCCACAGCCUCACCCCCGCCUGAGGCCAGCGGCGUCCCUGCCCCCAGCCCACCGGCCUGAUUGGAGGCUGAGGAGCGGGAGGCUGGUGCCCAGAGCAGCCCUGGCUGCCCAUCCAUCUGCCCCCUCAUCCUAUUAACCCGGCUGCUCCCGUGCCCUCCCGGGUGGUGCUGGCCUCCAUCCGCCGGCCCCUCCCACACGCAGGCCUGGUGGCCCUGGCUCUGAGCCCGGCCCUGGUUCCGCCGACCUGGCCUGCCCCUCCAGGCUCUGUCUCUGCUCCCUUUGUCCCCUGGGCACCUCGAGUGACCCAG
This 1465-nucleotide long non-coding RNA is filed under the name Sus scrofa (pig). Its description in RNAcentral is "lncRNA (ENSSSCG00005037369.1)". Lineage: Eukaryota; Metazoa; Chordata; Mammalia; Artiodactyla; Suidae. The record is from RNAcentral.